Long non-coding RNA from Astatotilapia calliptera (eastern happy), 659 nucleotides. The record is from Ensembl. Lineage: Eukaryota; Metazoa; Chordata; Actinopteri; Cichliformes; Cichlidae.
ACAACACCGGGCAGAAUGUGAACGCACUUCGGUUAGAAAGCUGGACUCUACCGAGGUCUACUGCCGUCACGUGACAGAAUAAUUCGACUUAGCUGGUUCUGGUUCCGACAGAAAACUCGGACAGAAAACCACGAAGAAGAAGAGGAGGAGGAGGAGAAGGAGGGGGAGGUUUUCCUAGCUGGAAACUUGGAUGCCAACACGGUAACUCCCAUGUUCCUCCUCCUCCUGCUCCUCCGGGUCCUGGAGCCCCGAACCCGGCCCCGGAGCUCUUCUUACCUUUGAAGGUGUCCGCCCGCGCGCCCAUUAGUCCCAGCGAGAGCAUAAGGAGAGCUGCGCGCAGCACCAAACUUCCAGCGAGCUCCAUGUUCACAGCGGAGCCUCCGCGCGGAGGAAACUACUUUCAACUCUGACCCACUCCUCCGCCUCCUCCUGCUCCUUUUCUUCUUCUUUUCCUGUUGUUUCCUGUCCGAACCUGGCACGCGCAGACAGACCACUGAGUCCACAGAUGUCAAGCUCAGAAGGAGAGAGUUCCAGAGUCUGGGGGCAACUGUGGCAAAAACUCUGGGUCCCAAUACAGGAUCUUGUGGUACACCAUAGCUCUCACGUCUGUGUAAACAAAGUCUUGUAAAAAGACCCUUCAGUUCACAUACAGAACCAAC